This 240-nucleotide unclassified non-coding RNA is filed under the name soil metagenome. Its description in RNAcentral is "partial contains 5.8S ribosomal RNA, internal transcribed spacer 2, and large subunit ribosomal RNA". The record is from RNAcentral.
AACACUGUUAACCUGCGGUACCUGCGGAAGGAUCAUUACCGAGUUAGGGUAGUCACACUGCCCGGCCUCCCAACCCUGUGUCUACCAUACCUUGUCGUUGCUUCGGCGGACCGGUUGACCAACUGGUCAUGACCGCCGGGGGCUGGCUCUGUCCCCCCUGGAGAGCGUCCGCCGAUGGCCCAACCACAAAACUCUUGUACCGAAACGUGUCGUCUGAAUUAUGUUUGAGAAAUCAAAAAC